UGGGGAAUAUUGCACAAUGGGCGAAAGCCUGAUGCAGCGACGCCGCGUGAGGGAUGGAGGCCUUCGGGUUGUAAACCUCUUUCAGUAAGGGUGAAGGCUCUCUUUUGUGGAGGGUUGACAGUACUUGCAGAAGAAGCGCCGGCUAACUACGUGCCAGCAGCCGCGGUAAUACGUAGGGCGCGAGCGUUUUCCGGAAUUAUUGGGCGUAAAGGGCUUGUAGGUGGCGUGUCGCGUCUGCUGUGAAAUUCCCGGGCUUAACUUUGGGAUUGCAGUGGGUACGGGCAUGCUAGAGUGCAGUAGGGGAGAUUGGAAUUCCUGGUGUAGCGAUGAAAUGCGCAGAUAUCAGGAGGAACACCGGUGGCGAAGGCGGGUCUCUGAGCUGUUACUGACGCUGAGGAGCGAAAGCGUGGGGAGCGAACAGG
Molecule: ribosomal RNA, 422 nt
Filed under: Verrucomicrobiota bacterium
Lineage: Bacteria; Pseudomonadati; Verrucomicrobiota
Description: Verrucomicrobia bacterium partial 16S ribosomal RNA
Rfam family: Bacterial small subunit ribosomal RNA
Source: RNAcentral